UGGGGAAUAUUGGACAAUGGGCGCAAGCCUGAUCCAGCCAUGCCGCGUGAGUGAUGAAGGCCCUAGGGUUGUAAAGCUCUUUCACCGGUGAAGAUAAUGACGGUAACCGGAGAAGAAGCCCCGGCUAACUUCGUGCCAGCAGCCGCGGUAAUACGAAGGGGGCUAGCGUUGUUCGGAUUUACUGGGCGUAAAGCGCACGUAGGCGGACUUUUAAGUCAGGGGUGAAAUCCCGGGGCUCAACCCCGGAACUGCCUUUGAUACUGGAAGUCUAGAGUAUGGUAGAGGUGAGUGGAAUUCCGAGUGUAGAGGUGAAAUUCGUAGAUAUUCGGAGGAACACCAGUGGCGGAGGCGGCUCACUGGACCAUUACUGACGCUGAGGUGCGAAAGCGUGGGGAGCAAACAGG
This 404-nucleotide ribosomal RNA is filed under the name Actinomycetes bacterium. RNAcentral's name for it is "Actinobacteria bacterium partial 16S ribosomal RNA". It matches the Rfam family "Bacterial small subunit ribosomal RNA", at positions 355 to 776 of the family's 1533-position model. Lineage: Bacteria; Bacillati; Actinomycetota; Actinomycetes. The record is from RNAcentral.